AACGAACGCUGGCGGCAUGCCUAACACAUGCAAGUCGAACGAGACCUUCGGGUCUAGUGGCGCACGGGUGCGUAACGCGUGGGAACCUGCCCUUAGGUUCGGAAUAACUCCCCGAAAGGGGUGCUAAUACCGGAUAAUGUCUUCGGACCAAAGAUUUAUCGCCUUUGGAUGGGCCCGCGUUGGAUUAGCUAGUUGGUAGGGUAAAAGCCUACCAAGGCGACGAUCCAUAGCUGGUCUGAGAGGAUGAUCAGCCACACUGGGACUGAGACACGGCCCAGACUCCUACGGGAGGCAGCAGCGGAGAAUAUUGGACAAUGGGCGAAAGCCUGAUCCAGCAAUGCCGCGUGAGUGAUGAAGGCCUUAGGGUUGUAAAGCUCUUUUACCCGGGAUGAUAAUGACAGUACCGGGAGAAUAAGCUCCGGCUAACUCCGUG
Molecule: ribosomal RNA, 433 nt
Filed under: uncultured bacterium
Lineage: Bacteria
Description: partial 16S ribosomal RNA
Rfam family: Bacterial small subunit ribosomal RNA
Source: RNAcentral